RNAcentral lists this ribosomal RNA (668 nucleotides) under uncultured Lachnospiraceae bacterium. Its description in RNAcentral is "bacterial SSU rRNA". It matches the Rfam family "Bacterial small subunit ribosomal RNA", at positions 64 to 737 of the family's 1533-position model. The record is from RNAcentral. Lineage: Bacteria; Bacillati; Bacillota; Clostridia; Lachnospirales; Lachnospiraceae.
GCACUUUAUUUGAUUUCCUUCGGGACUGAUUAUUUUGUGACUGAGUGGCGGACGGGUGAGUAACGCGUGGGUAACCUGCCUUGUACAGGGGGAUAACAGUUGGAAACGGCUGCUAAUACCGCAUAAGCGCACGGCAUCGCAUGAUGCAGUGUGAAAAACUCCGGUGGUAUAAGAUGGACCCGCGUUGGAUUAGCUAGUUGGUGAGGUAACGGCCCACCAAGGCGACGAUCCAUAGCCGACCUGAGAGGGUGACCGGCCACAUUGGGACUGAGACACGGCCCAAACUCCUACGGGAGGCAGCAGUGGGGAAUAUUGCACAAUGGGCGAAAGCCUGAUGCAGCGACGCCGCGUGAGCGAAGAAGUAUUUCGGUAUGUAAAGCUCUAUCAGCAGGGAAGAUAAUGACGGUACCUGACUAAGAAGCACCGGCUAAAUACGUGCCAGCAGCCGCGGUAAUACGUAUGGUGCAAGCGUUAUCCGGAUUUACUGGGUGUAAAGGGAGCGCAGGCGGUGCGGCAAGUCUGAUGUGAAAGCCCAGGGCUCAACCCCGGUACUGCAUUGGAAACUGUCGUACUAGAGUGUCGGAGGGGUAAGCGGAAUUCCUAGUGUAGCGGUGAAAUGCGUAGAUAUUAGGAGGAACACCAGUGGCGAAGGCGGCUUACUGGACGAU